CAGUUGGAUUAAGCAAUAGUAGCUUUUUGUUCUAGCUGUAAGGCCUGAUGAUACCAGUAAAGGAGGCAAGCACCUGUGGUUUCAGGCUUUUCUUUCAAGCAUGACUGAAAAUUUGAGACAGUGGUAACAAAUCAUCUGCAUGGUGCUUCAGAACACUUCGCUGCAACGAGGCCUGGGACCAAGAUGAACUAAAUGCAAAUUAGUCCAAGAAAGCCCUCCUUGUCAUGAAGUUAAUAUUUUUACUGCUGACUGGCAAGAAAUAACAGAGGGAAGCAGUUCUGCCUCACUGUAGUGGAGUUAUUGUGAUAUCCAUGUCUGUUCAUCUGGGUGUCCUAAAUCCAAAUCCUAUGAACUUUCUCACCAAGAGAUAGAUAUUAUUAGUUUUCUCAUCCACCUGAUGGAUAUUCUGAACCUCUUUACAACUCUGAAGUAUGCUUUUAGAGGCCUUUCAGUAGGAUAUAUGGUGGAUUUGAAGCAUCUCCAGCCCCUCAUGCCUGAGGUUUUUUCUUCUUACCGUGAAAAGGGGUGUUUUUGCUCUUGUGCAGAUAAGGUUGACUGAAAGUGAACCUUUGCCCUGGAAGAUACAGAGGUGUGCCCUGACUGUACCAGUUUGCUGUUCUGUACUCUUGCCUACUGAGGGUGAGGAACCUGAACCUAAGAUAUGAUUCCCUUGAGCAGAAGAACUGGAGCUGCCAGAGACAUCAAGUUCCCAUUUUCUGUUUUCAAAAUGCCUUUCAACAUCUUGGCAUUAAAGAAGCAUGUUUAUUAUUCUGAUAACUUUUUCAGUGGAAAAGUAAACAGUCUUGUGUCUGCUUUAAACCUGAAGUACUGUGGAAAGCUCAUAGGAGAAAUUAAGAAACUUUUAGAACUGAUUUUUUUUUUUUUGAGGGUAGUGUUCCUUCAUGUGGUGUGAAACUCUCAGCCCUCUUCAGUGUGGCAUAUCUAUGGAAAGAAUGUUAGCUUUUUUGUUGUUGAUGAUGGGGACUCCAUCAACAUGCUAUUUGAUAUUUCUUCUAAAAGUAGCAUUUUGGGUGUAUCCAGAUGUAAGACAACUCUCCUGCACUAAAUAUUCUGGAUUAAUUACUUCUCUCAAUAGUUGGAAAUCUGAUAAGGUUACCAAAAAUAAGUGAAAUAUUUUGAAUCCUUGUAAUAUUUUUUUCCUCUACAGAAAUGACCUUAUAAUAAAAGAUACAAAACAAGGCCUGGAUUCAAUACCUGGGUCUACCACAGACUCUUUCCAUGGCACUGGUUGAGUCAUUUAAUAUUUUUUCCUCUCUGACUUACACAAACAGUUCCUCCUGUCCUUUAGUUAUUGUGGUGAUAAAUGAUACACGUCAGUUUAGGAGGUGAUGGAAUUCUAUAGCAACAAAAGCCAGAUAACACUUGGUGUUGUUGCUUUUUUGUUUUGUUUUUGUGGACUUUGCCUUUACUCCUCAGUAUCUUUUCAUGUUAAUAAAUGCUGCCUUCAGAAAGGGUCUGAGAGUGACCUGUAGUCACUGUAACUUGGUGGGUGAGGUGGCUUAAUUUUGAGCAGGCUUGUCUACAGUAGGUGUUAAAGGACUAGUGUGAUUUAACUGGGAUUGCAGCUAUAUGUGUUGUGUGCUGUUCUGUUCAGUGAAUAAAAGUCUUGUGGAAACCAAUACAUCUCCUAACAAAAAAGUUUCCCUCUUUUGUUAGUGGGAGAUGAGCAUUUUCUGUACUGAUUCAAUAAAAUCAACAAUGCAUUUCUA
Molecule: long non-coding RNA, 1730 nt
Organism: Oxyura jamaicensis (ruddy duck)
Lineage: Eukaryota; Metazoa; Chordata; Aves; Anseriformes; Anatidae
Exons: 2
Source: RefSeq, a predicted model, not a curated record